RNAcentral lists this ribosomal RNA (474 nucleotides) under uncultured bacterium. RNAcentral's name for it is "bacterial SSU rRNA". It matches the Rfam family "Bacterial small subunit ribosomal RNA", at positions 28 to 507 of the family's 1533-position model. The record is from RNAcentral.
GACGAACGCUGGCGGCGUGCCUAACACAUGCAAGUCGUGCGGUCUCGCCUUAAGCGAAAGGCCUUCGGGCUUUGAAGCAAAGGCGAGAUAGCGGCGGACGGGUGAGUAACGCGUGGCUUAUCUGUCCCAGGGAGGGGGAUAACGUCUGGAAACGGGCGCUAAUACCCCAUAUGCCGAAAGGUAAAAAGGAGAGAUCCGCCCUGGGGUGAGGCCGCGUCCUAUCAGCUCGUUGGUGAGGUAACGGCCCACCAAGGCUAUGACGGGUAGCCGGCCUGAGAGGGCGGCUGGCCACACUGGGAUUGAGAUACGGCCCAGACUCCUACGGGAGGCAGCAGUGGGGAAUAUUGGGCAAUGGGGGAAACCCUGACCCAGCGACGCCGCGUGGAGGAAGGAGCCCUUCGGGGUGUAAACUCCUGUUGUAAGGGAAGAAGACAGUGACGGUACCUUACGAGGAAGCCCCGGCAAAACUACGUG